UUGGUGAGGUGGACCAGAAGGUUCAGAUGACCUGGGUGCAGCCCCGAGUACUGGACCUGCAGCAGAUCAAGGGCAUGAAGGACCGGUUGGACCUCUGGUGUGGGGAUGUGAAAAACAUGGCUGUGUUGGUGGAACAGCAGGCCCACGAUAUCCUCACCUAGACAUGCCUCCUCCCCUUGGUUUAGCCUCACCUAGACAGGCCUCCUCUCCCUGGUUUAGCCUCACCUAGACAGGCCCCUCUCCCUGGUUUAGCCUCACCUAGACAGGCCUUCUCUCCCUGGUUUAGCCUCACCUAGACAGGCCUCAUCCCCUUGGUUUUAUCCUCACCUAGACAGGCCUCCUCCCCUUGGUUUUAUCCUCACCUAGACAGGCCUCCUCCCCCUGGUUUAGCCUCACCUGGACAGGCCUCCUCUCCUCCCCUUGGUUUAUCCUCACCUGGACAGGCCUCCUCCCUCUGGUCUCCUCCAUGGCCCUGUCCAGAACAACCCCCUAACCUCUAGACACUUGUAGAGAUCAGAGAAGAUUUAAUAGGUGUAUGCAGUAGGAUGAUAGUACCUUGCCCUCUGAUAGUCUAGGUAGAGUUUUGGCCAUAUUGCUUCCACCAGUCAGAUCCUCUCAAGACAAGGGUCUAAGGUGUAGGUACCAGGAUGUUCUGGACAGGGCCCUUCCCCCAGCCUGUUCACCCCUAGAACAGACACCACCACAGGAAUCCUCUCAGACAAGGGUCUAAGGUGUAGGUACCAGGAUGUUCUUCUGGACAGGGCCCUUCCCCCAGCCUGUUCACCCCUAGAACAGACACCACCACAGGAAUCCUCUCUUCCUUCCUCUACCUACCUAUCUCCCAGAAGGACUGAUGCAUCCAACUUUUUCAGUUUUUUUUUAUUUGUAUUUUUGUUUGAGUUCUGUGUACGUUCUUGUUACUUUACAGAAGUAAAUAAAUAAAAGAAAACAUUGUUCAAUUUUGAAAUAAAAAUUACAAAUGCUG
Molecule: long non-coding RNA, 985 nt
Organism: Oncorhynchus masou masou (cherry salmon)
Lineage: Eukaryota; Metazoa; Chordata; Actinopteri; Salmoniformes; Salmonidae
Exons: 3
Source: RefSeq, a predicted model, not a curated record